RNAcentral lists this ribosomal RNA (450 nucleotides) under uncultured bacterium. RNAcentral's name for it is "partial 16S ribosomal RNA". It matches the Rfam family "Bacterial small subunit ribosomal RNA", at positions 354 to 796 of the family's 1533-position model. The record is from RNAcentral.
GUGGGGAAUAUUGGACAAUGGGCGAAAGCCUGAUCCAGCCAUGCCGCGUGUGUGAAGAAGGUCUUCGGAUUGUAAAGCACUUUAAGUUGGGAGGAAGGGCAGUAAGUUAAUACCUUGCUGUUUUGACGUUACCGACAGAAUAAGCACCGGCUAACUUCGUGCCAGCAGCCGCGGUAAUACGAAGGGUGCAAGCGUUAAUCGGAAUUACUGGGCGUAAAGCGCGCGUAGGUGGUUCGUUAAGUUGGAUGUGAAAGCCCCGGGCUCAACCUGGGAACUGCAUCCAAAACUGGCGAGCUAGAGUACGGUAGAGGGUGGUGGAAUUUCCUGUGUAGCGGUGAAAUGCGUAGAUAUAGGAAGGAACACCAGUGGCGAAGGCGACUACCUGGACUGAUACUGACACUGAGGUGCGAAAGCGUGGGGAGCAAACAGGAUUAGAAACCCUAGUAGUCC